Molecule: long non-coding RNA, 540 nt
Filed under: Marmota monax (woodchuck)
Lineage: Eukaryota; Metazoa; Chordata; Mammalia; Rodentia; Sciuridae
Source: RNAcentral
GAUUUUUCAAAUUUUUGUUUGUUUCAAUUUCAUUGAUUUUUGGCUCUGGUUUUAAUGAUUUCCUGUCUUAUACUGCUUUUGGCUAUGAUUUGUUUUUCUUCUUCUAGGGCUUUGAGGUAUAAUGUUAGGUUAUUUAUUUGGUGACUUUCUCCUAUUCUUUUAAAGAAUGUGCUCAAUGCAAUAAACUUUCCUCUUAGAACCACCUUCAUAAUGUCCCAGAGAUUUUGAUAUGUUGUGUUGCUAUUCUCAUUUACCUCUAAGUAUUUUUUAAUUACAUCCCUGAUUUCUUCCACUAUCCAUUGGUCAUUCAAUAAUGUAUAAUUUAGUCUCCAGGUGUUAGCAUAGCUUUUAUUUUUAAUUUUAUCCUUGAUUUCUAAUUUUAUUCCAUUAUGAUCUGAUAGAAUACAAGGUAUUAUCUCUAUUUUUUUUGUGUUAUUUGCUAAAAGUUGCUUGGUGGCCCAAGUGAUGGUCUAUUUUAGGGCAGGAUCCAUGUGCUAGUGACAAGAGAGUAUAUUCAGAUCAUAAGUAGAAUAAUUAUAC